AGCAGCCGCGGUAAUUCCAGCUCCAAUAGCGUAUAUUAAAGUUGUUGCAGUUAAAAAGCUCGUAGUUGAAUUUCGGGAUCAAUACGUCGGUCGUGCUUUCGGGUACGUACUGGCGUCAUUGGUUUCUCCUUUCUGACGGACCAUGAUGUCAUUAAUUUGGUGUUGCGGGGAAUUUGGACUGUUACUUUGAAAAAAUUAGAGUGUUUAAAGCAAGCUAACGCUUGAAUACAUUAGCAUGGAAUAAUGAAAUAGGACGUUCGAUCCUAUUUUGUUGGUUUCUAGGAUUGACGUAAUGAUUAAUAGGGAUAGUUGGGGGCAUUAAUAUUCAAUUGUCAGAGGUGAAAUUCUUGGAUUUAUUGAAGACUAACUACUGCGAAAGCAUUUGCCAAGGAUGUUUUCAUUAAUCAAGAACGAAAGUUAGGGGAUCGAAGACGAUCAGAUACCGUCGUAGUCUUAACCAUAAACUAUGCCGACUAGGGAUCGGAUGAUGUUAAUUUUUUAAUGACUCAUUCGGCGCCUU
RNAcentral lists this ribosomal RNA (520 nucleotides) under uncultured Glomus. RNAcentral describes it as "SSU rRNA". It matches the Rfam family "Eukaryotic small subunit ribosomal RNA", at positions 569 to 1089 of the family's 1831-position model. Lineage: Eukaryota; Fungi; Glomeromycota; Glomeromycetes; Glomerales; Glomeraceae. The record is from RNAcentral.